This 248-nucleotide ribosomal RNA is filed under the name uncultured bacterium. Its description in RNAcentral is "partial 16S ribosomal RNA". It matches the Rfam family "Bacterial small subunit ribosomal RNA", at positions 15 to 273 of the family's 1533-position model. The record is from RNAcentral.
GAUCAUGGCUCAGGAUGAACGCUGGCGGCGUGCCUAACACAUGCAAGUCGAGCGAUCUCUUCGGAGAGAGCGGCGGACGGGUGAGUAACGCGUGGGUAACCUGCCCUGUACACACGGAUAACAUACCGAAAGGUAUGCUAAUACGGGAUAAUAUAUAAGAGUCGCAUGACUUUUAUAUCAAAGAUUUUUUCGGUACAGGAUGGACCCGCGUCUGAUUAGCUUGUUGGCGGGGUAACGGCCCACCAAGG